CCUAGAGUUGUAGGCUUUGCCUGCUAUCUCUUACCCAUGUCUUUUGAGUACUUCGUUUCCUCGGCGGGUCCGCCCGCCGAUUGGACAAUUUAAACCAUUUGCAGUUGCAAUCAGCGUCUGAAAAACUUAAUAGUUA
This 136-nucleotide unclassified non-coding RNA is filed under the name soil metagenome. Its description in RNAcentral is "partial internal transcribed spacer 1". The record is from RNAcentral.